This 18-nucleotide small nuclear RNA is filed under the name Arabidopsis thaliana (thale cress). RNAcentral's name for it is "snRNA_01319". The record is from RNAcentral. Lineage: Eukaryota; Viridiplantae; Streptophyta; Magnoliopsida; Brassicales; Brassicaceae.
UUGGGGGCGCAACGCCCU